AGAACCUAGGUUGCCUUAGAGAGGUUCUCCGGUGUCCCGAGGGCGGCUUAAGUCAGAGUUGUUGGGUUUUGCUCAGAUUGGUGUGGGAAGAGCCUGCCUGUGGGGAGCGGCCACUCCGUACUGCUGAGGCCUCAGGACUGCUGCUCAGCUUGCCCGUUACCUGAAGAGGCGGCGGAGCCGGGCCCCUGACCGGUCACCAUGUGGGCCUUCUCGGAAUUGCCCAUGCCGCUGCUGAUCAAUUUCAUCGUCUCGCUGCUGGGAUUUGUGGCCACAGUCACCCUUAUCCCGGCCUUCCGGGGCCACUUCAUUGCUGCGCGCCUCUGUGGUCAGGACCUCAACAAAACCAGUCGACAGCAGAUCCCAGAAUCCCAGGGAGUGAUCAGCGGUGCUGUUUUCCUUAUCAUCCUCUUCUGCUUCAUCCCUUUCCCCUUCCUGAACUGCUUUGUGAAGGAGCAGUGUAAGGCAUUCCCCCACCAUGAAGUAAGUGGGUUCGUGGGGGUGAUUGCCUGUGGCUGGGACCUGGGAGUUACCUGAGAGAAUUGGGGUUAUUUGGGCUUGUGGGGAGGGG
RNAcentral lists this small RNA (568 nucleotides) under Pongo abelii (Sumatran orangutan). Its description in RNAcentral is "retained intron". Lineage: Eukaryota; Metazoa; Chordata; Mammalia; Primates; Hominidae. The record is from RNAcentral.